RNAcentral lists this unclassified non-coding RNA (795 nucleotides) under Acromyrmex echinatior (Panamanian leafcutter ant). RNAcentral's name for it is "eR membrane protein complex subunit 7 homolog, transcript variant X1". The record is from RNAcentral. Lineage: Eukaryota; Metazoa; Arthropoda; Insecta; Hymenoptera; Formicidae.
CUGCGCAGUGCACAUCGACAGGAUGAGAAACAUAUACAGAACAUAAUUGGGCUUGAGAGGUUAAUGGUUGUCCGCUAGCGUCAUCAUGAAGGGAAUAUUGUGUUUAUUCGUCAUUCUUGUAAAUUCAUGUGAGCGAUACGUAAUAGCGGAGCACGAAGAAGACACAUCCACAGAUCUAUUUGUGAUCGAGGGAAAAGUGUUCCCUUGGGACAACGCUGCUUCCACUGGGUGGCAACUCAUGACACAUGUGAUGGCAAAUGGAGGUGAACACUAUGGUUUUCUAAGGGAAGAUGGUACGUUUAUAAUCUCAAACGUCCCAUCUGGUUCUUAUAUGGUUGAAGUGGUGAACCCAAAUUAUGUUUAUGAGCCAGUCAGAGUAGAAAUCAAUUCGAAAGGGAAAUUCCGAGCUCGAAAAGUCAAUUUGAUACAGACGUCGCAAGUGAUCCAAGUACCUUAUCCAUUGAAAAUGAGGCCUUUAGCACCAUUUCGAUAUUUUCAAGUUAGAGAACAGUGGCGAUUAACAGACUUCCUGUUCAAUCCCAUGGUUCUAAUGAUGGUUCUGCCACUUGUACUGAUAAUGAUUCUGCCAAAAAUUAUGAAUGAUCCUGAAACUAGGAAGGUAAGAAGACCUAAAGACCGGCCAAAAAUUGAGUGACCCUAAAGACUAGGAGAGUUUUUUCUAAUAUCUAAAAGUAAAUGAAAGAUAAUUAACUGAAAUGGAGCAAUUAAAUAAUCUCACUAUCUAUAAUAUGCCAGAAAUGUCUGAAGUAAUAACGUCUUUUCUUUCUGGAGGAG